Molecule: ribosomal RNA, 233 nt
Filed under: uncultured bacterium
Lineage: Bacteria
Description: partial 16S ribosomal RNA
Rfam family: Bacterial small subunit ribosomal RNA
Source: RNAcentral
CGGGACGGGUGAGUAAUGUCUGGGAAACUGCCUGAUGGAGGGGGGUAACUACUGGAAACGGUAGCUAAUACCGCAUAACGUCGCAAGACCAAAGAGGGGGACCUUCGGGCCUCUUGCCAUCGGAUGUGCCCAGAUGGGAUUAGCUAGUAGGUGGGGUAACGGCUCACCUAGGCGACGAUCCCUAGCUGGUCUGAGAGGAUGACCAGCCACACUGGUACUGAGACACGGUCCAG